UUGACCUCGAAUCAGGUAGGAAUACCCGCUGAACUUAAGCA
This 41-nucleotide ribosomal RNA is filed under the name Fusarium solani. RNAcentral's name for it is "partial 28S ribosomal RNA". RNAcentral also lists the same sequence under 2 other names. The record is from RNAcentral. Lineage: Eukaryota; Fungi; Ascomycota; Sordariomycetes; Hypocreales; Nectriaceae.